UACGAAGGGGGCUAGCGUUGCUCGGAAUGACUGGGCGUAAAGGGCGCGUAGGCGGCUGUGACAGUCAGAUGUGAAAUUCCUGGGCUCAACCUGGGGGCUGCAUUUGAUACGGCUAGGCUAGAGGAUGGAAGAGGGUCGCGGAAUUCCCAGUGUAGAGGUGAAAUUCGUAGAUAUUGGGAAGAACACCGGUGGCGAAGGCGGCGACCUGGUCCAUUACUGACGCUGAGGCGCGACAGCGUGGGGAGCAAACAGG
RNAcentral lists this ribosomal RNA (253 nucleotides) under uncultured bacterium. RNAcentral's name for it is "partial 16S ribosomal RNA". It matches the Rfam family "Bacterial small subunit ribosomal RNA", at positions 524 to 776 of the family's 1533-position model. The record is from RNAcentral.